This 443-nucleotide ribosomal RNA is filed under the name uncultured bacterium. RNAcentral's name for it is "bacterial SSU rRNA". It matches the Rfam family "Bacterial small subunit ribosomal RNA", at positions 30 to 490 of the family's 1533-position model. The record is from RNAcentral.
AUUGAACGCUGGCGGCAUGCCUUACACAUGCAAGUCGAACGGCAGCGCGGGGCAACCUGGCGGCGAGUGGCGAACGGGUGAGUAAUAUAUCGGAACAUACCCUAGAGUGGGGGAUAACGUAGCGAAAGUUACGCUAAUACCGCAUACGCACUAAGGUGGAAAGUGGGGGAUCUUCGGACCUCAUGCUCAUGGAGUGGCCGAUAUCUGAUUAGCUAGUUGGUGAGGUAAAGGCUCACCAAGGCGACGAUCAGUAGCUGGUUUGAGAGAACGACCAGCCACACUGGAACUGAGACACGGUCCAGACUCCUACGGGAGGCAGCAGUGGGGAAGUUUUGGACAAUGGGGGGCAACCCUGAUCCAGCAAUGCCGCGUGAGUGAUGAAGGCCUUCGGGUUGUAAAGCUCUUUCGUCACGCGACGAUGAUGACGGUAGCGUGAGAAGAAG